UAUCUCUGUAGAGUCUGCAUAUCAAUAAGCGGAGGAAAAGAAACUAACAAGGAUUCCCUUAGUAACGGCGAGUGAAGCGGGAAGAGCUCAAAUUUGAAAUCUUCAAGGUCCUACCUUGACGAAUUGUAGUUUAAAGAAGUGUUUUCUGUUAGAUGAGUAGCAAAAGUUCCUUGGAAUGGGACAUCAUAGAGGGUGAGAAUCCCGUAUUUGGUUAUUCAUUCUAGCUUUGUGAUACACUUUCAAAGAGUCGGAUUGUUUGGGAAUGCAGUCCAAAAUGGGUGGUAAAUUUCAUCUAAAGCUAAAUAUUGGCGAGAGACCGAUAGCGAACAAGUACCGUGAGGGAAAGAUGAAAAGAACUUUGAAAAGAGAGUUAAACAGUACGUGAAAUUGUCAAAAGGGAAGCGUUUGACACCAGUGUUGUUUUUCCGAAAAUCAAUUACGAAUGGCUUGAUUUUGUGUUGUAUUGACCUUAUCAGCUUUCUUCACUUUUUUCGAGUCUUUCUUAAUGCACUUUUCGGUUAACAAGUCAACAUCAAUUUCUUUUGUUGUAAAAGAGUAUUCGGAAGGUGGCUUUCUUUUCGGAGAAAGUGUUUAUAGCCCUAUACUUCUACAAUCGGAGAGAUUGAGGUCUGCAGCGUAGAUCCUUCGGGGUUAGAUACACUUGUGCUAAGUUGUAGCUUUUCAUAGACAACUUGUUGACUAUGUUUAGUCAUGCGGCUUACUCGCUUGUGCCAUUUUACCUACGCUUAGGAUGUUGACUGAUAUGUAGUCGUA
This 774-nucleotide ribosomal RNA is filed under the name uncultured Neocallimastigales. RNAcentral describes it as "partial large subunit ribosomal RNA". It matches the Rfam family "Eukaryotic large subunit ribosomal RNA", at positions 24 to 644 of the family's 3401-position model. The record is from RNAcentral. Lineage: Eukaryota; Fungi; Neocallimastigomycota; Neocallimastigomycetes; Neocallimastigales.